Molecule: ribosomal RNA, 433 nt
Filed under: uncultured bacterium
Lineage: Bacteria
Description: partial 16S ribosomal RNA
Rfam family: Bacterial small subunit ribosomal RNA
Source: RNAcentral
AACGAACGCUGGCGGCAUGCCUAACACAUGCAAGUCGAACGAGACCUUCGGGUCUAGUGGCGCACGGGUGCGUAACGCGUGGGAACCUGCCCUUAGAUUCGGAAUAACUCCCCGAAAGGGGUGCUAAUACCGGAUAAUGUCUUCGGACCAAAGCUUUAUCGCCUUUGGAUGGGCCCGCGUUGUAUUAGCUAGUUGGUAGGGUAAACGCCUACCAAGGCGACGAUCCAUAGCUGGUCUGAGAGGAUGAUCAGCCACACUGGGACUGAGACACGGCCCAGACUCCUACGAGAGGCAGCAGUGGGUAAUAUUGGAGAAUGGGCGAAAGCCUGAUCCAGCAAGGCCGCGUGAGUGAUGAAGGCCUUAGGGUUGUAAAGCUCUUUUACCCGGGAUGAGAAUGACAGUACCGGGAGAAUAAGCUCCGGCUAACUCCGUG